CAUAUAUAACUGAAAAGGUACAAAAUUGUGUUGACAAAGUCUAGUAACUAAUGAUUGCCUGAUUUAAUAGUAAAUUAUAUUUAAUGUUUUAUUCCUGUUUCUUCCCCAAUCCUAUACUCUUUCUCCCCAAAGAUCAGUUUUUUCUGUUCUUCAGGUACACAAUGAAAUAUGGCCACCCUGAGCUUGUAUCUUACAGUUCCAGUCAAAUGGACAGAUUGGCCUUUUUGACUCCAAUUCCAGAUUCCUAGGAGAAAGGAUAUUGGCUCAGCUUUGCUCAUGAUUUCAGCUCUGGUCCAUAGAAGAAAGAGAUAUGUGAUAACUACAUAUUUAUACUAUCAAAGCAAAAACUUGGUC
RNAcentral lists this long non-coding RNA (354 nucleotides) under Pan troglodytes (chimpanzee). RNAcentral's name for it is "long non-coding RNA NONPTRT005070". The record is from RNAcentral. Lineage: Eukaryota; Metazoa; Chordata; Mammalia; Primates; Hominidae.